UCCUCCUGGGAACGGAAUGAUAAUCUGGAAUCUCCGGGAGGAAUGUUUUAAUAAAAAAAUUAAUCCUAAAUUUAAUUUGAGGGUGAAAAGUAAUUAAAAAAAAAAAAAAAGCGUUGGGGGUCGAAACGGCAGCGUUGUGCUGAGUAAUUAAUUAAUUUGAUGAAGUUAAUUUAAUUUAGCUCGGGUUUUGUGCAGGUAGGAAAAGUCUUUUGGGAAAAUCGCAGUGGGUUGAUAGGGGAUAAAAUUCCAUAGGGAAAAUUCCAGGGAUAAAAUUCAACAGGUAAAUCUCAACGGAUGGAAUUCGGCAGAUAAAAUUCAAUGGAUGAAAUUCAGUGGAUAAAAUUCCAUGGAUAAAGGUCAAGGGAUAAAAUUCAAUGGAUAAAAUUCCAUGGA
This is a long non-coding RNA of Parus major (Great Tit), 393 nucleotides long. RefSeq lists it as uncharacterized. The transcript has 2 exons. NCBI's taxonomy places the organism in Eukaryota, Metazoa, Chordata, Aves, Passeriformes, Paridae. The record is from RefSeq and is a predicted model, not a curated record.